Molecule: unclassified non-coding RNA, 403 nt
Filed under: soil metagenome
Description: partial contains 5.8S ribosomal RNA, internal transcribed spacer 2, and large subunit ribosomal RNA
Rfam family: 5.8S ribosomal RNA (bases 1-120)
Source: RNAcentral
GAUGAAGAACGUAGCGAAAUGCGAUAAGUAAUGUGAAUUACAGAAUUCAGUGAAUCAUCGAAUCUUUGAACGCACCUUGCGCCCUUUGGCAUUCCGAAGGGCAUGCCUGUUUGAGUAUCAUGAACACCUCAACUCUUCAUGGUUUUCCAUGAUGAGCUUGGACUUUGGGGGUCUUGCUGGCCUGCGGUCGGCUCCUCUCAAAUGAAUCAGCUUACCAGUGUUUGGUGGGCAUCACAGGUGUGAUAACUAUCUGCGCUUGUGGUUUUCCACCAAGUAACCUUCAGCAGUGGAGGUUCACUGGAGCUCACAGACGUCUCUCCUCAGUGAGGACAGCCCUUUGAAUGUUUGAUCUCAAAUCAGGUAGGACUACCCGCUGAACUUAAGCAUAUCAAUAAGCGGAGGA